ACACCUCAACUCCUCACGGUUUGCCGUGAUGAGCUUGGACUUGGGGGUUUUGCCGGCAUGCAGCCGGCUCCUCUCAAAUGAAUCAGCUUUCCAGUGUUUGGUGGCAUCACGGGUGUGAUAACUAUCUACGCUCGCCGUUGUCUGCCAGGUAACCCUCAGCAAUGAAGGUUCAUUGGGGCUCAUAAACGUCUCUCCUCAGCGAAGACAACUUUUGAAU
Molecule: unclassified non-coding RNA, 217 nt
Filed under: uncultured Tomentella
Lineage: Eukaryota; Fungi; Basidiomycota; Agaricomycetes; Thelephorales; Thelephoraceae
Description: sequence contains ITS2
Source: RNAcentral